AUAAAUUUUAGUGUUAAAUUUUAAUUAUUUUAAAAAUAUUUAAAUAUUUAAGUAGUAAUUAAUAUUAAAUAUUUAAGAAAUUAAGAUUUAGUUAUAUUAAAAUUAAUAACAAAUUUUGUGCCAGCAGUUGCGGUUAAACAAAAAUUAAAUUAAAUUUUUUUUUAGUUAUUAAUUAAUAAAUUUUUCAUAUAUAUAUAUAUAUAAGUUUAUAAUCAAAAUAAUAAAUUAUUAAGUGAAAUUUUAAUUUAUUCAAAUUUUAUUUAAUUUUUAUGAUUUAAUAAAUUUAAUUAAAAACUAGGAUUAGAUACCCUAUUAUAAAAAUUUAAAUUAAAAUACUAAAAUAGUAAAUAAUUAUUUAUUGAAACUUAAAUAAAUUGGCGGUAUUUUAGUUCAUUUAGAGGAAUCUGUUUAAUAAUUGAUAAUCCACGAAUAAAUUUACUUAAUUUAAAAUUUUAUAUAUCGUUGUUAAAAAAAUAUUUUUAAAUAAUAAUAAUAUUUAAAUUUUUAAAUAAAAAAUUAAAUCAGAUCAAGAUGUAGAUUAUAAUUAAGAAUAUAAUGGAUUACAAUAAAUUUAUUUAAAUGAAUAUUAAUUUGAAAUAAUUAAUUGAAAUUGGAUUUAAAUGUAAUUUUAUUUAAUUUAAUAAAAUGAUUAUAAAUUAAAUUAUGUACAUAUUGCCCGUCGCUUUCAUAUAUUAUUAUUUAUUUGUAAUAUAAUAAAUAGUAUAAGUUGAAAUAAGUCGUAACAAAGUAGAGGUACUGGAAAGUGUUUCUAGAAAGAA
Molecule: non-coding RNA, 779 nt
Filed under: Olene inclusa
Lineage: Eukaryota; Metazoa; Arthropoda; Insecta; Lepidoptera; Erebidae
Source: RNAcentral